CUACACCAUUAUAAGUCAAUUGGGGCAUUUUUGGGCAGCUCCUGCCCCCCAGGGGUGCAACUUUUACCCCAUAUUGAGGUAUGCUUUUACAGAGCCUGCCAGCCUCUUCAAAUGUGGCAAAUCACACGUUUCUACGAAAUCCUCGCUUGGAGCUGUGACGCGUCAAAGUUUGUCUCAAUGUUAAGUCUAUGGGAUUUUUCGGCCGCUUUUUUGCCCCUGGGGCAAAUACCGUACCCCCGAUCGCUUAUAAAAGUCAUAGCACACGUGUCCUCAAUAGGCCGUUCGAUUUGAUACCUCAUUCGUGGGUCUACGCCAAACGGUGCGGGACGAGUUAGGUGCCGAAGUUUUGUUAAGAGAUAUAAUAAAAAUAAAAAUAAAAAGUAUAAUAAGUAUGUGAGAUUACAAUAGUG
Xyrauchen texanus (razorback sucker) is the source of this 410-nucleotide long non-coding RNA. RefSeq lists it as uncharacterized. Lineage: Eukaryota; Metazoa; Chordata; Actinopteri; Cypriniformes; Catostomidae. The record is from RefSeq and is a predicted model, not a curated record. The transcript has 3 exons.